CCAGGAUCACUGGUUCCCUUCACAUGACUAUCCAAACUGCUGUCUUGAUUGAAACUUUAACUGCCUUAGGUGCUGAGGUUCGUUGGUGUUCUUGCAAUAUUUUCUCCACUCAAGAUCAUGCCGCUGCCGCUAUUGCCCGUGAUUCGGCUGCUGUUUUUGCCUGGAAAGGGGAGACCCUCCAGGAGUACUGGUGGUGUACUGAGAGAGCUCUUGACUGGGGCCCAGAUGGUGGUCCUGAUUUGAUUGUUGAUGAUGGCGGUGAUGCCACUCUCUUGAUUCAUGAAGGUGUGAAGGCUGAGGAGAUUUAUGAGAAGACUGGUGCUUCCCCAGAUCCAGCUUCGACUGAUAAUGCUGAGUUCCAGAUUGUUUUGACAAUUAUUAGAGAUGGAUUGAAGUCUGAUCCUAAGAAGUAUCACAAGAUGAAGGAAAGAUUGGUUGGUGUUUCGGAAGAAACUACAACUGGUGUCAAGAGAUUGUAUCAAAUGCAGAUUAAUGGGACUUUACUUUUCCCUGCUAUUAAUGUCAACGACUCUGUCACCAAGAGCAAGGUAUUGUUUUUUAAGAUCUGGGUUUUUGCUGUAUAGAUCUGUUAUGUGUUUAGUUAUUGAUUUAUGUUUUAGAUCUGAUAUGAUUAAUGGGUUUUUGUUUUAGAUCUGAUAUUAACUGGAUUUGUUUCAAUGUUGUCGAUAUUUCCACUUAGUUUCAACAUAAAUACUGUGAACUUGUUUGAUAGAUUUGCAAUGAUGUGUGGUUAUUGAGAUAUCUUAGAAUCAAAGAGAUAUUACUGUCAAUUAUUGUGUGAGUUUUUUGUAAGAUAUUUUUUUUGAGGUUAUGAUGAAAAGAUUCUUUCAAGUUCUAAGCUUUUGAUUUGUUUAAGAAGCAAAAAUGUUUCGACUUUAAGAUCAGAAUCAUGCUACUUGUUUUAGAAUAUUCUAUGAGACUUCGGAACUUUCGCACGAUUCUUAUUUUAUGAGAACUUGCAAGUUUUUUGUUACUCUAUUAUUUAAUCCAAUUGGUGAUUAGUACUCCACGAUUUUUAUCAAGGUUCAUUGCAUGAUUCAUGUGUGGUGCUAGAUGUUUUGAAUAUGGUUUUCAACUCUCAAUCAUCAGUUGUUGAUUGAUGACUUCUGAAAUCUUGUAUGUGAUUCUGCACGAUUCUUUUUCUCUGUUGUAGUCUAACAAUUGCUCUUAAUCUUUGUGUGUACAGUUCGACAACUUGUAUGGAUGCCGCCACUCUCUCCCUGAUGGUUUGAUGAGAGCUACUGAUGUCAUGAUUGCCGGCAAGGUUGCUGUUGUCUGUGGUUAUGGUGAUGUUGGCAAGGGCUGUGCUGCUGCCAUGAAGCAAGCUGGAGCUCGUGUGAUUGUGACCGAGAUUGAUCCCAUUUGCGCGCUUCAGGCUCUCAUGGAGGGUCUACAGGUCCUGACUCUUGAAGAUGUUAUCUCCGAGGCUGAUAUCUUUGUCACCACCACUGGUAACAAGGACAUUAUCAUGGUUGAUCACAUGAGGAAGAUGAAGAACAAUGCCAUUGUCUGCAACAUCGGUCACUUCGAUAAUGAAAUCGACAUGCUUGGACUUGAGACCUUCCCUGGCGUGAAGCGCAUCACCAUCAAGCCCCAAACUGACAGGUGGGUCUUCCCUGACACCAACUCCGGCAUCAUUGUCCUGGCUGAGGGACGUCUCAUGAACCUGGGAUGUGCCACCGGUCACCCCAGCUUUGUGAUGUCCUGCUCAUUCACCAACCAGGUGAUCGCCCAGCUUGAGCUGUGGAACGAGAGGAAAACCGGCAAGUACGAGAGGAAGGUCUAUGUCUUGCCCAAGCACCUUGAUGAGAAGGUUGCUUCCCUUCACCUUGGCAAGCUAGGAGCUAGGCUUACCAAGCUCUCCAAGGACCAGGCUGACUACAUCAACGUGCCAAUCGAGGGUCCAUACAAGCCUGCUCAGUACAGGUACUGAGAGAUGGAACUUGAGGCAAAACGUGAUUGGAAACGGCGCUAUUGUUUCUUUUGUAUUUUCAUGAUGAUUUGUCCUAUAUUAUUAGGCUUCAAUUUUUUUCCUAGGAUUUGUGUUUUGGUGGUGGGGAAGACAUGGGAGGAAAAUAUAUGAAACGGUCUAUCUUGAAGACCACAUGGGAUUAUCUAAUAAGGUUUUGGAUUGGGGUUGUGUGGGAUAAUAUUGUAGCUGUUGCCAUUUUUCAUUUGAGUUUUCUUGCUGCAGCUUAUCUUCUUUUUAAU
This 2232-nucleotide long non-coding RNA is filed under the name Populus trichocarpa (black cottonwood). RNAcentral describes it as "long non-coding RNA (PTRI_LNC000322)". Lineage: Eukaryota; Viridiplantae; Streptophyta; Magnoliopsida; Malpighiales; Salicaceae. The record is from RNAcentral.